Molecule: long non-coding RNA, 1224 nt
Organism: Sus scrofa (pig)
Lineage: Eukaryota; Metazoa; Chordata; Mammalia; Artiodactyla; Suidae
Source: RefSeq, a predicted model, not a curated record
AGAUGGAUAUUCUAUUAUAACUGUGGAUAUGACUGAUUUUAGCAAACCUCGACUGGGAGAUGUUGUCAUUUACAAGUUUUAAAAAUUUAAAAGCAGUAAAACUUAAGUCCUAACCCACAGUGUGAUGGUAUCUGGAGAUGGGGCUUCUAUGAUGGGAUUAGUGUCUGUGUAAGAGACAACUAAAAGCUUGCUUCUUCUCUCCCCACAUGAGAAGAAACAGUAAGAAGGUGGCAAGCCACGAAGAGCUUUCAUCAGGGAACUGAAGUGAACUGAAUUGGCAUGCCCUUGAUUGUGGAUUUCCUAGCCUCCAGAACUAUACUUAUUGGAACAUAUGUGCCAGGUACUGUGUUGGGCCUUGGGGAAAUGAACAUGGAAUAAAGGCUUGAAGUGCUGCUGGUCUGUCAGAGAUCUAGCAUCUAAACAGAAGCUACCUGACCGCAGAAGUCAGCCCCAAAGGAAAAUGAGAAAUAAAAACAUAAAUUUGAUCUUCAGUGAAACUAGCAGAUAUCUACAACCUGAGUCACAAAAUACAAGGACAGAAAAUGAACAGAGGAGCAAUGACUGACUCAGCAGUGGAGAGAUGGGAGACACCCGGCACAGAGGCAACAUGGAUGAGAAACAAGCCAACAGAGCAGGCAAAGUCCAGGACCCUGAGGCACCAGAUGCUACAGAAAGUAUGAAUGGAGAAAAUGGGGAGAUAGGUUGAAAAUUUGCCAAGUGCAGCUAGAUCUCUCUGGCUUUUACUCUCAUACUUAGAGGAGAUGAGAUAUUUAUUAUUUGGAGAAAAUGAACCAGUGAGGCUCAGGGACUUUGGAAACCAUACAUAGUGAGGAUAGAGGGGAGGCCUGGAACUAAAAUCUGAGGGAAAACUCCCUGCUCCCUUCUUCCAUCUAGCUUCCAGAACUCUAGCAGCUAGACUUAUACCUCCUAAUAGGAGAUUGGAAGAUAUUUUGCUGGAGAAAUACAAUGGCCAAAGAGAAGAGAUCUAUAGAUGCUGAUUACUAGAAAUCCUCCAAUAAAAAGCUGGAGGGCCAACCAAGCAUUCUGUGAAGCUCAUCCAUUCAUUAGCCCUGCCUACUUAUGCACUGCUUUCAGGCAGCAUUAUUGCACAUCAUGUGUUAGAAGAAAGCUUCUAAUAUAAACAGUGACUAAAACAAAGAACUCAGAAAACGGUAACCAUGAAAGAAGCAAGAAAUAAAACAGAUUUCUUCCAAGUUAAGAGGA